CGGCUCUUCACCUGGUAGACUUGUGAGUGGAUAGGCUUGGUCAAGCUGCCUGAUGAAGAGCUGUCC
RNAcentral lists this microRNA precursor (66 nucleotides) under Melibe leonina. RNAcentral's name for it is "microRNA mle-mir-745a precursor". Its record names the gene mle-mir-745a. Lineage: Eukaryota; Metazoa; Mollusca; Gastropoda; Nudibranchia; Dendronotidae. The record is from miRBase by way of RNAcentral.